UCCUGUAUCGAAAGUGAUCAUGGUGUGUUUGUCUCCAGGUCAUUGAUAGUACAGGAACAGCAACAUGAGAGCUUUCCCGUGUUUAAAGGACUUCCUGUUCCUCUUGAACCCUGACGCUCUCAGACA
Nothobranchius furzeri (turquoise killifish) is the source of this 126-nucleotide small nucleolar RNA. Its record names the gene SNORA71. It matches the Rfam family "Small nucleolar RNA SNORA71". Rfam says of the family: The members of this family belong to the H/ACA class of snoRNAs which bind a number of proteins (including dyskerin, Gar1p and Nop10p) to form snoRNP complexes. This class of snoRNAs are thought to guide the sites of modification of uridines to pseudouridines by forming direct base pairing interactions with substrate RNAs. NCBI's taxonomy places the organism in Eukaryota, Metazoa, Chordata, Actinopteri, Cyprinodontiformes, Nothobranchiidae. The record is from Ensembl.